Molecule: long non-coding RNA, 3571 nt
Organism: Mirounga angustirostris (Northern elephant seal)
Lineage: Eukaryota; Metazoa; Chordata; Mammalia; Carnivora; Phocidae
Exons: 3
Source: RefSeq, a predicted model, not a curated record
CUCUGCCUCUCUCUUCCUCUCUCUGUUUCUCUCUCCCUCCUUCCCUUUGUCUCUCUGUGUCUGUCUCUGUCUCUGUCUCUCUCUUCCUCUCUCUCUCUAUCACUCUGUCUGUCUCUUCCCCUCUCUCUUUGCCUUUCUCUCUCUCUGUUACCAAAACUUACCACUUUUUCCUGUUCGAUCCCUGCAGAGAGCACCAAUUUUAUUUAUUUAUAAAACAGUAACAACAGUGAAAUUACUGAGAACCAUAAAAAGCAGUUAAAAACUAAAAGCUUGAAGUGUUGAUGCUCUGAAAUUAUCCUGAUUUGAUAGAGCUAGCAUUGCCUUCCUCUGUCAUGUUUUGGGGACAUAGUAGCCUGGAAGUUUGAAAAUGCCCAGCCACCCUGAAAUUCACCAUGGAAAGAGGAAUGCCUUUUCUUCAUAUCAAUGUAAUUGGAUGCGCAGGGAUCUCCUGUCAUUCAACAAACACUUCUUAGUUCCAACUGACUGCCGGACCAAAUUAUGCAGAUGCCCAACAAAGAAAAUUCAUCCCCUGUUUUCAAGAACUGUACCUUGAAGACAAGAAAACAAACCAUUUCAAAGAAAGACUGAAAGUAACCAACAACCCCCAGCCGUCAGACAUGUAUUUCUUGGUCACGUCAUAUGCAGGAGGCCACAGCUUGCUUCCUGUGGUUCUGUGUACCUUCUCAUUCUGGGACUUGGGACAGAAGAACAGAAGUGCUAGUGGAAAUUUGUGAUGCCUUUGAUCAAGCUUCCGCUCCAGGUAGACUAAUCUGCUGCUCGCACUGGCACUGGCCACAGCGUGUCAAUGCCAAGUCUUGCCACAGGGGGCACUGUGAGCCACACUGCAACAGGCAUGUAUGCUCUACAGGGAAAAGGAAGCAAAUGAUCAGCAAAAGUAGCACAGUUUCCUACAGCGCCCUAGGAGUCAUUCUGAGGGUGUCGAGAGGACAAGAUUUUGUGGAAGACACAACUAUUUAGAAGGCCUUCAAGGAAGAGGGGACUUACUCUUGACUGUGUUGGGCCAGUCCCUCUCUCUUUCUAAAACCUCUCUAUGCUCACACUUUUAUGCAGUCUAAUCCAUAUCAGCGUAAGUGUUCAUAAAUUAGUUCGCUCUGGUCUGAGCGGGAUGGUUUCCUUGCCUGGGAAGAGGAGUGAAAAAGUACACAAAAUUUCCACUCGGGGAGCGAAAUCUACAGAAAUUUAAAUGAGGUAAAUGAAAUUUAACAGUUGAGAAAUUACAACUGUGAAGAAGUAGGUUAAUCCAGGGACGAAAGGGAGUGAAUCAAGAGAAACAUAUAAGAAGCUGAAUUUAAUUAAGGGACCUAGAAAGAAGAUAUUAGUAGCCAUUCUCCAUGAGGAAUAAUAAAUGAAAGAUUGCAUGUCAUUUGGGGUUGUAAAGGCCUAAAUUAUGGUCCUCCUCAUGCUCCACUCCUGAAAAAAAUUAUUUAUUUAAUCUGUCUGUGAAAAUUUCACAGAUGGAGGGAGCAAAGCAGGCUGAUUACAGUGUGUUUAUUUGUUUGCUUGUAAGGAAUUCUUAUUGCCUUGGCCACCAGGAGCAAAACAAUUCCCAGUACGGGAGAACAGAAAAAUGGUCCCUUUUUUCCUAAGUGUGGCUGGUGAACCAAGGGAAGUUGGAUGAGGCAGGAAUGGGCACGUUGCCCAAAAUACUUCAUUGCUCACAUUGCACGUCCUUUAAUUUUUAAUAUAUUUUAUUUCUGUGUUCGGCAAGGUUUUGUUUUUUUAACCUCCUGGUGCAAAAUCAUUCUGUUAAAACCUCUGGAAUUAACAUGCCAAACGCCAACUGCAAUGUGUAAGGGCUGUGAGAUACUUCUCCAGUGAUUUUCAAUUUGAAAACUUGAAAACCUGUUCUCCUCAAAGGAAAAGCACAAUUUUAAUAUUUUAAAAAUAGUGUGGUGAUGGUAAUAAAAUGAUAGCAGUGUUUCCCUCUAAAGCUACCUUUGGGGUCCUGGGUGGGCCCCAUGAGGGGUGAAGGUGGUGAGUGCCAGUCCUUCUGGCCAUGCGAGAUGAAGUCACAUAAAUAGAAGCGACCACCAAGAAAAGAGGCAGAUCUGAAGUAAGACAAAAGCAUUUAUUUGGAUUUCUCAGAAUCGCAAUUUGGGGAGCAGAGAUUUGGGUAGAAACCCAAGUCGUGUCCACUAGGGAACAAAAGUCAAGGGUUGUUAAAGACAAAAAGGAAUGCUUGUAUAGAUUGUUUACAAAGAAUGUGGAUUGAUGUUGAUGGCAGAAAACUAAUCUUGGCUACCUGUAAUUGGUUGCUAAGGCUUUCAUUCACUAAGGAAAAGGCUAUUACUGUGGCAACUUGCAAGUUUUUGUGCAGAGUCCUUGGAUUACUUGCCAUUUGGCCCAGUUCAAAAGUUCAUGGUUCUAUCCAGGGAGAACAUGCAUAAGGCCCACCUCCUUAAUGAUUUCCUGGCUCCAUCGUAAACACCUUGACAUAAGUAACUCUAUUUUAUUUCAACUCUCACAGAAAGAGGAAGGCCUCUUUGGAGUUCUGUGUCCACAACCUGCUAGCAGUGGUCUCGGCUAAUAAGAAUAAAGCAUUUAUUACACACGCUGAGUGCCACAUAUGGUUCUAAACUUUUACGUGGAUUCACUCAUAUAAUCCUGGUGACAAUAUCAUGUGAGAUAGAUAUUCUUUUUUUUUUUUUAAAGAUUUUAUUUAUUUAUUUGAGAGAGAGAGAAUGAGAGAGAGCGAGUACAUGAGAGGGGGGAGGGUCAGAGGGAGAAGCAGACUCCCUGCCGAGCAGGGAGCCCGAUGCGGGACUCGAUCCAGUGACUCCAGGAUCAUGACCUGAGCCGAAGGCAGUCGCUUAACCAACUGAGCCACCCAGGCGCCCCGUGAGAUAGAUAUUCUUUUCUUUCCCAUUUUCUAGAUGAGAAAACUGAGGCCCAAUAACUUGUCCCAAAUAUGUAAAGAUCUUCUAUAAGUUGAUAACAAAAAGAUAACCCAAUAGGGGGAAAAAAUGAGCAAAAGAUAUGAAUUGGCACUUCAUAAAAGGGGAUAUCCAAAUAGUCCUUAAAUGCAGGAAAAUGUGACUGACCUCACUGGUCAUCACAAAAAUCCAAAUUAAAACCAGAAUGACACACCACUGCAUACUUGACUGAGUGCCUACAAUUAAAUAGACUGAUGGCACAAAGUGCUUGAGAAGAAGCAGAGCAAUGGAAACUCACACACUCCUGUGGGGAAGGAGUUGGCCCAGCCUCUCUGGAAAACAGUUUGAUAUUGACCACUCAAGUCCUACAUUUGCAAGUCCUUUGAUACAGCAAUUCCACUCCCAAGUAUAGAGCAAUGUGCACCAACAAAAUCAGGCACUAGAGUGUUCAUAGAAGCAUGAUCUGAAAAAUCCUUAACAGGAAACAACCCAAAUACCAUCGACAGUAGGAUGACUAAGAACAUUCAGUAUUCGCAUACUUUUAACAGUAACAAUGAAUUUCAGCUCCAUGAAACAGCAUGGAUGAAUCUCAUAAACAUCAUUGAAUAAAAGAUUGAAACACAGAAGAAUACUGUAUGAUUGCACUUAAAUAAAGUUCCAAAGUUUGCAAAAUUAGU